Molecule: ribosomal RNA, 466 nt
Filed under: uncultured bacterium
Lineage: Bacteria
Description: bacterial SSU rRNA
Rfam family: Bacterial small subunit ribosomal RNA
Source: RNAcentral
GACGAACGCUGGCGGCGUGCCUAAUACAUGCAAGUAGAACGCUGAAGAGAGGAGCUUGCUCUUCUUGGAUGAGUUGCGAACGGGUGAGUAACGCGUAGGUAACCUGCCUGGUAGCGGGGGAUAACUAUUGGAAACGAUAGCUAAUACCGCAUAAUAGCAGUUAUUGCAUGAUAACUGUUUGAAAGGUGCAAAUGCAUCACUACCAGAUGGACCUGCGUUGUAUUAGCUAGUUGGUGGGGUAACGGCUCACCAAGGCGACGAUACAUAGCCGACCUGAGAGGGUGAUCGGCCACACUGGGACUGAGACACGGCCCAGACUCCUACGGGAGGCAGCAGUAGGGAAUCUUCGGCAAUGGACGGAAGUCUGACCGAGCAACGCCGCGUGAGUGAAGAAGGUUUUCGGAUCGUAAAGCUCUGUUGUAAGAGAAGAACGAGUGUGAGAGNGGAAAGUUCACACNGNGACGGU